RNAcentral lists this ribosomal RNA (253 nucleotides) under uncultured bacterium. RNAcentral's name for it is "partial 16S ribosomal RNA". It matches the Rfam family "Bacterial small subunit ribosomal RNA", at positions 524 to 776 of the family's 1533-position model. The record is from RNAcentral.
UACGGGGGGGGCAAGCGUUGUUCGGAAUUACUGGGCGUAAAGGGCUCGUAGGCGGCCAACUAAGUCAGACGUGAAAUCCCUCGGCUUAACCGGGGAACUGCGUCUGAUACUGGAUGGCUUGAAUCCGGGAGAGGGAUGCGGAAUUCCAGGUGUAGCGGUGAAAUGCGUAGAUAUCAAGAGGAACACCUGAGGUGAAGACGGGUUGCUAGGCUGACACUGACGCUGAGGCGCGAAAGCCAGGGGAGCAAACGGG